UGGCCAGACUCCUACGGGAGGCAGCAGUGGGGAAUAUUGCACAAUGGGGGAAACCCUGAUGCAGCGACGCCGCGUGAGUGAAGAAGUAUUUCGGUAUGUAAAGCUCUAUCAGCAGGGAAGAAAAACCGACCAUAGGGUCGCUAGACGGUACCUGAUUAAGAAGCCCCGGCUAACUACGUGCCAGCAGCCGCGGUAAUACGUAGGGGGCAAGCGUUAUCCGGAUUUACUGGGUGUAAAGGGAGCGUAGACGGCAGCGCAAGUCUGAAGUGAAAUGCCGGGGCUUAACCCCGGAACUGCUUUGGAAACUGAGCAGCUAGAGUGCAGGGGAGGUAAGUGGAAUUCCUAGUGUAGCGGUGAAAUGCGUAGAUAUCAGGAGGAACACCGGUGGCGAAGGCGGCCUGCUGGACUGCGACUGACGUUGAGGCCCGAAAGCGUGGGGAGCAAACAGGAUUAGAUACCCGAGUAC
This 466-nucleotide ribosomal RNA is filed under the name uncultured bacterium. RNAcentral's name for it is "partial 16S ribosomal RNA". It matches the Rfam family "Bacterial small subunit ribosomal RNA", at positions 328 to 793 of the family's 1533-position model. The record is from RNAcentral.